AUGGCUGUCGUCAGCUCGUGUCGUGAGAUGUUGGGUUAAGUCCCGCAACGAGCGCAACCCUCAUCCCUAGUUGCCAUCAUUAAGUUGGGCACUCUAAGGAAACUGCCGGUGAUAAGCCGGAGGAAGGUGGGGAUGACGUCAAGUCCUCAUGGCCCUUACGCGCUGGGCUACACACGUGCUACAAUGGCGGUGACAGUGGGCAGCAACCUCGCGAGAGGUAGCUAAUCUCCAAAAGCCGUCUCAGUUCGGAUUGUUCUCUGCAACUCGAGAGCAUGAAGGCGGAAUCGCUAGUAAUCGCGGAUCAGCAUGCCGCGGUGAAUACGUUCCCAGGCCUUGUACACACCGCCCGU
RNAcentral lists this ribosomal RNA (350 nucleotides) under uncultured Alphaproteobacteria bacterium. Its description in RNAcentral is "bacterial SSU rRNA". It matches the Rfam family "Bacterial small subunit ribosomal RNA", at positions 1045 to 1397 of the family's 1533-position model. The record is from RNAcentral. Lineage: Bacteria; Pseudomonadati; Pseudomonadota; Alphaproteobacteria.